Molecule: ribosomal RNA, 1263 nt
Filed under: metagenome
Description: bacterial LSU rRNA
Rfam family: Bacterial large subunit ribosomal RNA
Source: RNAcentral
AGCUCCACCGUACAGACCGUACCGAAACCGAAACAAGUGGUCAGGUAGAGUAUACCAAGGCGCUUGAGAGAACUCUGCUGAAGGAACUCGGCAAAUUGCACGCGUAACUUCGGAAUAAGCGUGACCUCCACGUACGCAAGUAUUUGGAGGUGGCACAGACCAGGGGGUAGCGACUGUUUAUCAAAAACACAGGGCUCUGCGAAGUCGCAAGACGACGUAUAGGGUCUGACGCCUGCCCGGUGCCGGAAGGUUAAGAGGAGAGGUGCAAGCUUUGAAUCGAAGCCCCGGUAAACGGCGGCCGUAACAAUAACGGUCCUAAGGUAGCGAAAUUCCUUGUCGGGUAAGUUCCGACCUGCACGAAUGGCGUAACGACUUCCCCGCUGUCUCCAGCAGAGGCUCAGUGAAAUUGAAUUCCCCGUGAGGAUGCGGGGUUCCCGCUGUUAGACGGAAAGACCCCGUGCACCUUUACUAUAGCUUUACACUGGCAUUCGUGACGGCAUGUGUAGGAUAGGUGGUACACUUUGAAGCCUGGGCGCCAGCUCAGGUGGAGUCUCCCUUGAAAUACCACCCUUAUCUUCAUGGAUGUCUAACCGCGACCCGUUAUCCGGGCCCGGGACAGUGUAUGGUGGGUAGUUUGACUGGGGCGGUCGCCUCCCAAAGAGUAACGGAGGCGCGCGAUGGUGGGCUCAGAACGGUCGGAAAUCGUUCGCUGAGUGCAAUGGCAUAAGCCUGCCUGACUGCGAGACUGACAAGUCGAGCAGAGACGAAAGUCGGUCAUAGUGAUCCGGUGGUCCCGCGUGGAAGGGCCAUCGCUCAACGGAUAAAAGGUACGCCGGGGAUAACAGGCUGAUGACCCCCAAGAGUCCAUAUCGACGGGGUUGUUUGGCACCUCGAUGUCGACUCAUCGCAUCCUGGGGCUGGAGCAGGUCCCAAGGGUAUGGCUGUUCGCCAUUUAAAGCGGUACGUGAGUUGGGUUCAGAACGUCGUGAGACAGUUCGGUCCCUAUCUGCCGUGGGUGUAGGAAUAUUGACAGGAUCUGUCCCUAGUACGAGAGGACCGGGAUGGACGUACCUCUGGUGGACCUGUUGUGGCGCCAGCCGCAGUGCAGGGUAGCUACGUACGGUCGGGAUAACCGCUGAAGGCAUCUAAGCGGGAAACCCACCUGAAAACGAGUAUUCCCUGAGAGUCGUGGAAGACUACCACGUUGAUAGGCCGGGUGUGGAAGUGCGGCAACGCAUGAAGCUUACCGGUACUAAUAGCUCU